AAUGACUAUAUAUGAAGCGAUAUGGUUAAUAAGUGAAGAAAAGGGUUAAUUUAUAGUAAAGAGUAUUGAGUAAAAGAAUAGGAGUUGAUUGAAAAAGGAGCUGUAGAAUUUAGGAAGAUAAAUAUUUAAACUUUGUACCUUUUGUAUAAUGUAUUUUUGAGAAUAGGUGAUAUAUUUUUAGAUCUCGAAGUUUAAAGAUCUAUAAAGUAAGGAGGAGGAAGUUAGUGUAGAAGAACUAUUUUUGAUAUUUUUAUAGUAGUGAUAUUCUUUUCGUUUUAAACGAUAGCUGGUUUUUUGGGAAAAAAAUUUUGUUUUAUUAGAUAUAGGUAUGUAUUUAAGGUGUCUUAAGAGGGUUAAUCUUUUUAGGGUGUAUAUUUUUUGUGAAAAUGAUGUGUAAAUUUUCUAGGCUUGAGGAUAGUUUUGGGAUGUAAGUAUGUUAUGAUUUAUUUAUGGUAGGAAAAUCUUUGUUUGAAAAAGGUGUGUAUUGUUUUACUGAAUUUUCUUUUUAUGAAUAAAAGGUUUGAGGAGCGAUUAUGAUAAUAUUAGUAUUAAGAUUAUUUUUAUUGUAGUAAUGGUAAAGCAAGUAUUAAAAAGAAAUCGAAGAUAGAAAAUAAGAUAAUGAAUUCGGCAAUAAAAGUUUCGACUGUUUAACAAAAACAUUUUUUUUCGAAAAGUAAUGGGAAAUAGGGCCUGCUCAAUGAUGUUUAAUAGCCGUGGUAUUUUGACCAUGCUAAGGUAGCAUAAUCAUUUGGUUUUUAAUUGGGAUCUCGUAUGAAAGGUUGAACGAAAGCUUUUCUGUAUCAUUUUAUUUCUGUAAAAUUUAUUUUUCAAGUGAAGAAACUUGGUUGAAAGAAAAGGACAAGAAGACCCUGUCGAGCUUUUAUAAGUGCAUUAAUUUAGAAGGUGGUGUUAUUAUUUUAGUUGGGGCAACUAAGGAAAAUAACUUCUUUAAUUUAGUGAUUGGUAGGUAUAAAAGAUAAAGAAAUUUUUAUAAGAGAGCAAGUUACCGCAGGGAUAACAGCGUAAUUUUUUUUGAAAGACCGUAUUGGAAGAGAAGAUUGCGACCUCGAUGUUGGAUUAAAACGUCCUUGGGGGGCAGAAAAUUCAAAGGGUUGGUCUGUUCGACCAUUAAAGUUUUACAUGAUCUGAGUUCAGACCGGCGUGAGCCAGGUUGGUUUCUAUCCUUUAGAUUAUUGAUUUGGGUUAAGUUUAGUACGAAAGGAAAAUUAUUUAAGUUUUAUUUU
RNAcentral lists this ribosomal RNA (1244 nucleotides) under Psilodens balduri. RNAcentral describes it as "16S ribosomal RNA". The stretch from base 828 to 1187 matches the Rfam family "Bacterial large subunit ribosomal RNA", at positions 2049 to 2651 of the family's 2925-position model. The record is from RNAcentral. Lineage: Eukaryota; Metazoa; Mollusca; Caudofoveata; Limifossorida; Limifossoridae.